Molecule: long non-coding RNA, 4072 nt
Organism: Piliocolobus tephrosceles (Ugandan red Colobus)
Lineage: Eukaryota; Metazoa; Chordata; Mammalia; Primates; Cercopithecidae
Exons: 4
Source: RefSeq, a predicted model, not a curated record
ACAAUCGCUGGAAUCCAGAGGACAGAGGCUGCAGUGAGCCGAGAUUGCACCACUGCACUCCAGCCUGGGCGACAGAGUGAGACUCCAUCUCAAAAUAAAUAAAUACAUAAAUAAACAAAGUUAGUGGAGAUUUGGGAAAAGUCUGUAUUCUGAACAACUGGCAAUCUGCAGAUCAGUGUUAAUGCUGAGAGAAAACAGCUGCUGUCUCUGAAGUGCCCGAGCGUUUUAUAAACAGUGGUUUUUUGGUGAGUGCUGCAGUGUCUCUCCUCGCUACGGGGCUUAGAUUUAACAAAUGGACAAAAGGAAACCUUGCAGUGUGCGGUGCUGGAAUGGAAAUGACUUUGCUGGCCACAGAUGCCCAAGGCCAUUAAUAUUUCCAACUUAAUUUUGAAAAACAGAUGUUUCUGUAAAAUUUUCAGGAAAACUUAAUCUCAAUUUUUAAAAACGCUACGAAAAUGUUCAAGGUUGAAUUAUUUUGUUUCCUCAAGGUCGGCUGGACACUCACUCAGAUUAAACUCCCCCCUAGCAGAAAUAUCCACUAUUAAGGAAAUGGAAAACACGGCUCUCACUUUCCAAGAAUUUACCACGUGUGGAGAAAAAAAAAAAGACGUGUAAAAAUAGAUACUUAGAAUGGGCAAAUGACCCAAAUCUUAAGUACACAAAGCUAAAAAUCGGAGAAUCUUAGUAACAACGACAUCUGUGAAAAGCAUUCUUCAUGUGGACUAGGAUUUCAGGAUCAAAAGGGCAACAGGAGGGAAAGGGGUUAACAAGACCGAACAGUGCUAGUGAAGCGGUCUCCGAGAAACAAUGUCUUCAGAGCCAGGUGAGUUUGACAGUGAUUCACGGGGAGUCAAGUGUGCAUUCCCAAGGAAGGGUCUGGUCCAGCUGCUGGCCAUGGUGGGGAAGCCCUGCAAGCUGGAGUUGGGAGACUGGGGUUGUGUAAUUUUGGGCAGUUAACACCUCUGAGCCCUCCCCUCACACAUUUUAAUAGGGAUGACGGCGUCAUCCAGCUAAAUCGCAAGGCAGCAAAUGAGAUGUGUGAGACUGCUUUGAAACCUAUGAAAGGUUUUACCUGUGAAAAUUCAAAUUAAAGCAAAUCAAAGAAGACUAUGGCAAAAGUGGGCCUGGGGCUUUACUCAAGGAAAAAGCAGGGGGCAGAAAUGAGCGGACUGAAAAAAUGGUGCACCAGGAGGAUGGCUCACACCUGUAAUCCCUACCUUAGAAGGCGAAGGAGGGAGGACCACUUGGGGCCAGGAGUUUGAGACCAGCCCGGGCAACAAAGCGAGACUGUCUCUAAAAGAGAAAAUUUAAAAUUUAAAAACAAAAAUGUAAAAACGAAAUGGUGCCUCAAGAGGGGGGACACAGGACAUACACAAAGUAAACUGAUAGAAGCCCUGGGAUACCACCAGGUGGAAAAAUAACAAUUUGACUCAACUGAAACACUUUGCAAAAUACCAUCUCUAAGCCAGAGGUCUGAAGAUUUUUAAAGAAAAGCUGAAGCUCUUAGCCCAGUGUAACAGACACUGAUCCCUGUCUAUGCAGCCGUGCACGAGAUGAGAUCUUCAGAGCUGGAGCCCUCGGCAGGAGGUGGAGGUCUGUUUGUGACUGCUGGCCUGCCUUCCAGAACCAUGAACUCAGGCCUCCAAUCGGAACAAAACAUUCUCAGAAGUACCAACCGCCCCAGACAGCUGGUGAAGACAACUCUGUUGGCAAUGCAGUACUUCUUCCUCCCUCUGCAAUGGGAUGCCUUCACCUCCAGACAUCCACAGGAGACAGCUGGGAAUAACCUCAAAGCACUUAAGAUGAUGAAUGAUGUUUUAGGAACAAAGCACCAGUCUUCCAUCAGCCCUUAUCAAAAGGGACUCCAUAUUCAAGGGACUAAUAUUUGUCUUUUCAAGGAACUUCCAUUUUAUUUUUGACUGUUGUGGGUCAGUAACAAGUCUUCCUAGAGCAAUUUCGGAUUUUUCUCUUCACCUGAAGGAUCUCCAAAAGGAUGCCUUUCAACUCCCUAUUCCAAAGCAAAGACAGACAGACUGCUUUGACAAGAAAAAAAAUAGGCUAAAACCAAUUUAGAUUCUACAAUGGUAAACCAAAGAGUCUUUAGCCUUGAUAUAAAUGUCUUCUAAAAGAACAUACUUCACCAAAUAAAACAAAGACUUGAUGUCAUAGCUUGAAUUUUGGAAAUAUGUCUUUAUCCAUGUGACUACUUGGAAAGGCAGGAAGUAUAGCUGGCCUGCCCAGUUGAAAAACUAACACCCAUUUUGCCCAGGCAUGGAAUGAGAGACAGUAGUUAAGAACAUUGUUAUUAAACACCCCAUCAAUUUUUAAUAUGGGUGCCAUUGCUAAAUUUCAAAUCUAGUAGUUCUUUUUCUGGAUAUAAACUAAUGCUAUUAUGAAAUAAUUUUUUAGCUGGACGCAGAAAGUAGGACCUAUUUUUUUCAGGCUCGAAACCCUACUGAGAUCACCACUACAGAAAUAUGUGGCGCCAGAAGUACAGACAGGAAAAGAAACGUGUAAUUUUUUUUCUAAGCAAUCAGCUAUGAAUAAAAUGCAAGAAUACUUUACUCACCCCACAUGGAAAAUGUUUCCUAAAAACUUCCUUUGUUGAUCUUCUCAGAAUUAGACAUUUGAAGGUUUGCUCUACUUUGAAUAUGUGGCAUCAAAAUGUCAUACAAUACAAAUCAUUUUGGAAAAAUACCGUUGAUAAGAAAAUGUUAACAGUUACAAAAGGAGAGUAAAAGUGUUGAAUAUGACAUAAACUGAAACCGAAGAAAUAUUUGGAUAACAAGCAAAGUUAUUACCGGAAAGAACUGAUAUAUUUGCAAAAUACCACCAUCUCUAACACUUGAGGUAUAUGUAUUGGUGGAGAAAGGGACCACGGUAUAUUAAUGUUUCAUAUACCUAUAAGAAUCUGAGAACUUAAAAUACUACCUGCUAAACUGAUACAAAUAAAUUAAGAAGUAAAGUGGCAAGGAUAAUAGGCUUAACUACCAAACAUACAAAAUACAGGGUGACAGUGAAUUCAAGAACUGCAGUCAGAAGCUAUUCUAUGCCUGCUUUUUAAAAAAACGUAAAGCUUCUUAGACUAGAUCUUUAUCAAAUCUCUAUCUCAUCAGUCCACUGGGAUCAUAUGGUUGUUAUGUAGCAAAAGAUCCCAUAGGAAUGAGAAUGAGAACAUCUCUCCAGCAGUUAUCCUAAGCCCAGGAAUGUCACAGGCAUUUUACAUAUAUGAUCUCAAAAAGUCUGCAGAGCAAUUCCACUGGUGGAUAUGAAUUUUUGUCUCCAUUUUAUAGAAGAAAAAACUGAGUUUAGAAAAGUUACAUAACUCACCUGAGGUCACAAGGUCAUAUUUAAUUCCAUGACUAUCAGAUGACAAAGCCUGGAGCUUUUCACAUCUGAUAAGGGCUCCAUAGGUUCCUAAGCAAAUCUCCAGGCCCCUUGGGGCAGCUCAAGGUCGCGGAAUGUACCCCCACCAGAAUCCAAGAAACUUGGGUCUGCCUUGGCUACGAGGCUGGGACUGGUAACCUUGGUUUGUCAAACCACCACCCCUCUGGCCUCAGGUCCCUCUGCCCAACGUGAAGAGGCUGGACUGAAUGAGCCCUGGUUCCUCCCGGCUAACAUUUGGAUUCCAUAGGAAAAAACUAGCUUUACCCAGUCUUCAGUGAUUUUUUUCUUUUCCUAAGCACAUACCACUACAUGUCUUUUUGGCCACAAAAGGAUUCAAGCACCAUGAGGACUACAGACAAAAGGCUUUGAUUUGGCCAGGCACAGUGGCUCAUGCUUGUAAUCCCAACGCUUUGGGAGGCCAAGGCAGGAAAGGAGAUGCAAGAAUCUAGGUGAUCCAUGUGCUUUAUCACUCACAGGAUUCCAUUAAACAAAUACCAAGCACAGCCCUAUCUCACUUUGCACAAAAGAUGAGAUGUGUUCCUGAAAGGGUCUCACUCUGUCACCUGUGCUGGAGUACAGUGGCACCAUCAUGGCUCACUGCAGCCUCAACCUCCUGGGCUCAAGAGAUCCUCCUGCCUCAGCCUCCCAAGUAGUUGAGACUCCAGAGGUGCACCACCACCACUGG